GAAGACGAAGAAGAAACAGAGGUAGAGGAUUGGUCCCGUGUGGUGUGAAGGUGAAUCAAAUGGAAGAACUGAAGUUGUUUGUCUUUAGACGGCUCCAGGCUGCUGCUUCUGAAGUACUUGGUGCUACAGAAAAAAUAUAACAAGUUACACGGAGCAGGCGACCCGUCUGAAGGAAGAAAACGAGCGUAACCGCUGGACAUUAUCAUCAAAUCCAACUUUGGACUUCAGAGAGCCUUACGGAGACGCAGCGCUCACAACAACUGCAGAUCAAAGACGAGCUGGUGGAAAAGGGUAGCAAUCAAAUGAGAGAACAAAGCCUAGAGCCAAGCCGGCCCCAGGACUACGACUAUGUCGUCAUUGACUAUGUGAACAGUUUUAUGGAGAUAUGAGUGAAAGCAGCAAGGGAUGGUCUCUUUUUGCACCUUCAGCUCAGGCAAUGGAAUCUCUGCCCAAAUGCACGGUGUGUGAUGUAUCAGCACUGACUUGGGAAGCUCUGCACUCUACUGGAAUCAGUGCAGUUUCCAGAGAUGGAAAACGCAGCAAGACUGAGUCAAAGGACACAAAAACACUUUGCUCAAGUUCACAUGCGCUCAGAUCAAAGACAAAACUGUGUGUGAAAAGAUUGUUACUUCCUGUGACUUUAACAAAAAGAAGUCAGAUAUCAACCAAUCAAAGCUCCAGUUUCAUAUUCCUAUGUGGGAAGAUUUUCCAUUACAUGUACAGACUGAAAGCCCAUGUGCAAACACAUACUGUAUAAGGGAUAAAAACCAUGUUUGUGGAAUCUGUGGGAGACAUUUACUGUCUGCAGAGAGUUUAGUUCAACACCUGCAAAGCCACACCAAGAAAAACAAGUGUGGUACUUGUGGCAAACAGUUUUCCAGUAAUUCCAGUCUAGAGCGGCGCAGGAGGUUUUACAGACCAAAGGGCCUGAAUCCCAUGUGAUCAGCGUGAAUGUUAUAGCUGGAUGAAAUUCUGUUAAUGCACGGAAACCUGCUGCGUCUUGGUAUAUGGAUCACUAUAGGGACAUUUACUGACUGGAAAACAUCCAUUUUGAUAGAAACAAUAUGUGCGUAUUUAUUGGUUUGUUUGUUUUAUGUGUUCAAAAUAAAAGCUGUCAUCAACAUCA
Molecule: long non-coding RNA, 1126 nt
Organism: Oreochromis aureus
Lineage: Eukaryota; Metazoa; Chordata; Actinopteri; Cichliformes; Cichlidae
Exons: 2
Source: RefSeq, a predicted model, not a curated record